AUUGAACGCUGGCGGCAUGCUUUAUACAUGCAAGUCGUGCGGCAGCGCGGGGGCAACUCUGGCGGCGAGCGGCGAACGGGUGAGUAAUACAUAGGAACGUAUCCUGAAAUGGGGGAUAGCUCGGCGAAAGCCGGAUUAAUACCGCAUACGCUCCACGGAGGAAAGCAGGGGAUCGCAAGACCUUGCGUUUCUGGAGCGGCCUAUGUCUGAUUAGCUAGUGGCGGGGUAAUAGCCCACCAAGGCGACGAUCAGUAGCUGGUCUGAGAGGAUGAUCA
This 275-nucleotide ribosomal RNA is filed under the name uncultured bacterium. Its description in RNAcentral is "partial 16S ribosomal RNA". It matches the Rfam family "Bacterial small subunit ribosomal RNA", at positions 30 to 306 of the family's 1533-position model. The record is from RNAcentral.